Molecule: ribosomal RNA, 231 nt
Filed under: uncultured bacterium
Lineage: Bacteria
Description: partial 16S ribosomal RNA
Rfam family: Bacterial small subunit ribosomal RNA
Source: RNAcentral
CGGGUGAGUAACGCGUGGAUAACCUGCCUCACACAGGGGGAUAACAGUUAGAAAUGACUGCUAAUACCGCAUAAGCGCACAGUACCGCAUGGUACAGUGUGAAAAACUCCGGUGGUGUGAGAUGGAUCCGCGUCUGAUUAGGUAGUUGGUGGGGCAACGGCCCACCAAGCCGACGAUCAGUAGCCGACCUGAGAGGGUGACCGGCCACAUUGGGACUGAGACACGGCCCAA